GACGAACGCUGGCGGCGUGCUUAACACAUGCAAGUCGAACGGAAAGGCCCUGCUUUUGUGGGGUGCUCGAGUGGCGAACGGGUGAGUAACACGUGAGUAACCUGCCCUUGACUUUGGGAUAACUUCAGGAAACUGGGGUUAAUACCGGAUAGGAGAUCCUGCUGCAUGGUGGGGGUUGGAAAGUUUCGGCGGUUGGGGAUGGACUCGCGGCUUAUCAGCUUGUUGGUGGGGUAGUGGCUUACAAGGGCUUUGACGGGUAGCCGGCCUGAGAGGGUGACCGGCCACAUUGGGACUGAGAUACGGCCCAGACUCCUACGGGAGGCAGCAGUGGGGAAUAUUGCACAAUGGGCGGAAGCCGGAUGCAGCAACGCCGCGUGCGGGAUGACGGCCUUCGGGUUGUAACCCGCUUUCGCCUGUGACGAAGCGUGAGUGACGGUAAUGGGUAAAGAAGCACCGGCUAACUACGUG
RNAcentral lists this ribosomal RNA (468 nucleotides) under uncultured bacterium. RNAcentral's name for it is "partial 16S ribosomal RNA". It matches the Rfam family "Bacterial small subunit ribosomal RNA", at positions 28 to 507 of the family's 1533-position model. The record is from RNAcentral.